Molecule: long non-coding RNA, 991 nt
Organism: Dendrobium catenatum
Lineage: Eukaryota; Viridiplantae; Streptophyta; Magnoliopsida; Asparagales; Orchidaceae
Exons: 2
Source: RefSeq, a predicted model, not a curated record
GGUAUUUUCCUAAAUUUUGAUUGCAUCAAGCUAGGUCUGAUUGGCUAGGGAAGUGGAUCAGGCUUAGAGAUCGGAAGAGUGGUGGUGGCUCGGAUAGAGGGCAAGGUCGGCAGGAUCUUCUUCAAACAAGAAGGUGAUUUCAUCGAUGGAGGUGUGGAUUCGGGAUUGGAUAUCGGGCUAGGGAGAAUGAUUUGGUCCUAGAGAGAUUUGCGGAGCAAGUCGUCGGGCAAGCGGCGAAAGAAAUGGAAGAGGGGGGAGGAGUUUCAGCUCAGAUGGGUUGAGGGCUUUGGAGUUGAGGUCAACGGGGUUCGAUCGUGUGUAGAGAUCGGAAGCUUACGGUUUGGUUGGAGAUUAGUGUCUGCGAAUGGAAGAGGGAGGUCGGAGGAGGCAAGGUUCGGAGAGAGCUACUUGUGUGUUGACGACCCAAAUUCUUCGUCUCAUUGUCGCUUUAAUAGGAACUUUUAUUACAUCCACUGAACGGACGCUCCUCUACGUUCGGUUUUAGACAAAAAACUCGGUACAACUCGGUACUCGGUACAAGCGCUUUUUUUGCCUAAACCAAACGUAGAGGAGCGUACGUUCACUGGAUAAAAUAAAAGUUCCUUUAAUAGACAGAUGGAAGCGCGAAAAUAGAGCAAAUUUGCAGGGUUUGAGCAAGAGUCGCGGAGAUGAGACGCAAACAACGCCGUUUUGUAAGAGGAAACACAGGAGGCACGUUAUAACCUUUAUAUGACUUGGAAGGUUUUAUCGCUAAUUUCUACAACAAUGUUAUUUGUUUUUAUUGGCGUUUUUGUAACAAAGAGAAGAAAUUCAAAAAUUAAGGUUUGAUUAUGUUUAAACUUAUUGUCAAAAUGUAUUGUGGGAAAAGAAAAUGUGCCAAAGCGGCAGAAGCUGUUGUAUUGCUUUGUAUGGGAAGCAGUAUCACAGUACUUUUGCAGUGUUAUUGUUGUAUUGUUGCUAAAUCCAUUGAUUUUUGAUGGUCUUUGUUUGU